AUUGAACGCUGGCGGCAGGCCUAACACAUGCAAGUCGAGCGGGGUGAUGGUGCUUGCACUAUCACUUAGCGGCGGACGGGUGAGUAAUGCUUAGGAAUCUGCCUAUUAGUGGGGGACAACAUCUCGAAAGGGAUGCUAAUACCGAAUACGUCCUACGGGAGAAAGCAGGGGAUAACUUGUGCACUUGCGCUAAUAGAUGAGCCUAAGUCGGAUUAGAUAGUUGGUGGGGUAAAGGCCUACCAAGGCGACGAUCUGUGGCGGGUCUGAGAGGAUGAUCCGCCACACUGGGACUGAGACAAGGCCCAGACUCCUACGGGAGGCAGCAGUGGGGAAUAUUGGACAAUGGGGGGAACCCUGAUCCAGCCAUGCCGCGUGUGUGAAGAAGGCCUUAUGGUUGUAGAGCACUUUAAGCGAGGAGAAGGCUCUUUUGGUUAAUACCCAAGAUGAGUGGACGUUACUCGCAGAAUAAGCACCGGCUAACUCUGUGCCAGCCGCCGCCGUAA
This 503-nucleotide ribosomal RNA is filed under the name uncultured bacterium. RNAcentral's name for it is "partial 16S ribosomal RNA". It matches the Rfam family "Bacterial small subunit ribosomal RNA", at positions 30 to 523 of the family's 1533-position model. The record is from RNAcentral.